AGAUUGAACGCUGGCGGCAUGCCUUACACAUGCAAGUCGAACGGCAGCACGGACUUCGGUCUGGUGGCGAGUGGCGAACGGGUGAGUAAUAUAUCGGAACGUACCCUGGAGUGGGGGAUAACGCAGCGAAAGUUGCGCUAAUACCGCAUACGAUCUACGGAUGAAAGUGGGGGCUCGCAAGACCUCAUGCUCGUGGAGCGGCCGAUAUCUGAUUAGCUAGUUGGUAGGGUAAAAGCCUACCAAGGCAUCGAUCAGUAGCUGGCCUGAGAGGACGACCAGCCACACUGGGACUGAGACACGGCCCAGACUCCGUACGGGAGCAGCAGGUGGGAAUUUGGACAAGUGGGGCAACCCUGACUCCAGCAAUCGCCGCGUGAGUGAAGAGGCCUUAGGUAGUAAAG
This 401-nucleotide ribosomal RNA is filed under the name uncultured soil bacterium. RNAcentral describes it as "bacterial SSU rRNA". It matches the Rfam family "Bacterial small subunit ribosomal RNA", at positions 26 to 430 of the family's 1533-position model. The record is from RNAcentral.